Molecule: ribosomal RNA, 300 nt
Filed under: uncultured Sporosarcina sp.
Lineage: Bacteria; Bacillati; Bacillota; Bacilli; Caryophanales; Caryophanaceae
Description: bacterial SSU rRNA
Rfam family: Bacterial small subunit ribosomal RNA (bases 52-300)
Source: RNAcentral
GGGGAUGCGGUGCCGUGGGGUGCGGGAAUGGGGAGGGGGGAGUCGUUGUUGGGAGUCAGUGUGCGGAAGGGGUGCGGAGGCGGCCGAUGAAGGAGGAGGUUAGAUGCCGCGGCUGAACGUGGGAGUGGCCUUCGAUACUGGUCUGCGUGAGGCGUGGAGAGGGUAGCGGAAUUCGAGGUGUAGCGGUGAAAUGCGUAGAGAUCGGGAAGAACACCAGUGGCGAAGGCGGCUACCUGGACAGGUACUGACGCGGAAGCGCGAAAGCUAGGGGAGCAAACAGGAUUAGAUACCCCUGUAGUC